GAGGUUGUGGCUCAGCGGUAGAGUGCUCGCCUCACAUAUGUGAGGCCCUGGGUUCAAUCCUCAGCACCACG
Molecule: transfer RNA, 71 nt
Filed under: Marmota monax (woodchuck)
Lineage: Eukaryota; Metazoa; Chordata; Mammalia; Rodentia; Sciuridae
Description: tRNA.Val
Rfam family: tRNA
About the family: Transfer RNA (tRNA) molecules are approximately 80 nucleotides in length. Their secondary structure includes four short double-helical elements and three loops (D, anti-codon, and T loops).
Source: RNAcentral